GAUAAGAUGAGCACAGUGCUGGGUAUCUGGUGAGUUUUCAAAAAUGUUAUUUGUUCCUAGAAUCUGAAUCUAAGGAGCUUGGACUCUUUCCUAUUGGCAGCAAGGAGCUUCUUUAGAAGCCGGGGAGUGAUCUGCUUAAAUGUGAGUUUUAGAAAGUUAAUUCUGGCUUGGAAGCAGUACAUUAGGAGAGUUGGAAGGAGAGAGAGGUUGGAAGUACAAAGAUCAGCUAUUAGGCUUUUGAAAUAAUCCAACUGAUGAAGACCUGUUUGAACUGAGUUACUGAGGUGGAUGGGGAUGGAGGGUAGAAGGGGAGAGGGGUAUAGAUAGAGAAAAGGAGAGAGAAGGAAAGGAGGGAUAUUGAGGAGAUAGCUUCAGAACAUAAGAAAAUUGAUUGGAUGUGAGAGUAUGAGAGAGAGGAGAUGAGGAGAGUGGGAUAAUGCCCAGGUUGCUAGCUGGGCCUACUGAGUGAAUGAAUGAGAAUACUAAGGAGGAUAAAUUCAGAAGGAACAGUUAAGAGAGGAUGUGAAGGAGGAAAACAAUGAGUUUGGUUGUAGUCAGAGUAUGUCUGAGUUGUGUGGGGGGCAUUCAGGACUAAGAGGGUCAGGGAUAGUGAGUAGUUUGUGAAGAGAUCUGGAGAUGGAGCUCCAGGGUCCCUGACAUCUGAAGGGUAUCUGAAGAGUGACAGGGAGAAAAGGAGCACCUGAGAGUGACUUUCAAAGGUGUGCAGAGAGGGAGGAGGGGGAAGUACCCAAACAUGCCAGGAAGGGGGCCCGACAGCAGCAGAUGCAGCAGGAAGGCCUGGGAGGUGGGAACUGAGAAGAAGCUCUGGUAUGGUAUUUUGGAAGCCACUGGUAACUUUGGGGAGAGCUGUGUGAGUCAGGGACAUGUGGGGGCAGAAGCCGGAAUGCAGAGGAUGAGGAUAGAAAGGGAGAAAUGGAGAUGAUGAGUUUUGAUGGAGAAAAGGAUCACAGAGAAUAUCUUUAAGGCGAGGGAAGAGGGAAGAGUCCCGUUUUCUUAUAAGGUCUUUUCUCUGGAGUCCUGGGAGGCAAGUUAUGGGCAGCACUGCCUCUGGCCGCACCAUGAAGCCUGAGUCUGCUUGCGCUCUGCCCUGGGCCCUGCUCUGUCUGAGCAUUGGGCUUCUAGCUGCCCCCCUCCCCACAGCCUGCCGCUGCUAGGAGGUAGAACUUUAGGACUGGUCCUUGGCCUAUUUCUACCUGUCACCUGGCUCACCUCACCACUCACUCCUCCUCCAUCACAGCAGCCCGGCCCUGUCCCUGGCCUCCCUGGCUAGGGCGUUUGGGGGUCCGUUGGGAGGAGUGCAUCGCUAAAGACUUCUUCCUACUCUCCUGCACCUUCUCCUCCUUGAGUCAAGGCCUCCGGAUCCACAUGGAUAGCUGAGAUCUUUUCUUGGAGAAAGACGCUUUCCUCUUUACUCCAGUCCCUCACUUCCCCGCCUGAUUUUCCUCCUCUUCUGCUGGUCCUAUCUUUUUCUACUGCCUUUAUUCAAUUUCUUGCUUGUGUGCCCUUUUGGGACUCUCUUGUACACUUUCCUCCCUCUCCACCAUCUCAGGAUCUGUGUGUGUGCUGCCUUCCUCCUGUGUGCUUUCUGUCCCUUCAUCUCCAUCUUGUCUUCCUCUCCCACUUCUAUUGCCAAAGGGAGAGAUCCUCUCUGGGCUGUUCCCUGGCCUGUCUGCUCCUCUGGGCUCUGUCCCAGCAGCCACAAUGAGUUCCACACUCCACUCGGUUUUCUUCACUCUGAAGGUCAGCAUCCUGCUGGGGUCUCUGCUGGGGCUCUGCCUGGGCCUUGAGUUCAUGGGCCUCCCCAACCAGUGGGCCCGCUACCUCCGCUGGGAUGCCAGCACACGCAGCGACCUGAGUUUCCAGUUCAAGACCAACGUCUCCACGGGUCUGCUCCUCUACCUGGAUGAUGGCGGCAUCUGCGACUUCCUAUGCCUCUCCCUGGUGGAUGGCCGCGUUCAGCUCCGCUUCAGCAUGGACUGUGCCGAGACUGCCGUGCUGUCCAACAAGCAGGUGAAUGACAGCAGCUGGCACUUCCUCAUGGUGAGCCGCGACCGCCUGCGCACGGUGCUGAUGCUUGACGGCGAGGGCCAGUCUGGGGAGCUGCAGCCCCAGCGGCCCUACAUGGAUGUGGUCAGUGACUUGUUCCUUGGUGGAGUCCCUGCUGACAUACGACCUUCUGCCCUGACCCUUGAUGGAGUACAGGCCAUGCCCGGCUUCAAGGGAUUAAUUCUGGAUCUCAAGUAUGGAAACUCGGAGCCUCGGCUUCUAGGGAGCCAGGGUGUCCAGUUGGAUGCCGAGGGACCCUGUGGUGAGCGUCCCUGUGAAAAUGGUGGGAUCUGCUUUCUCUUGGACGGCCACCCCACCUGUGACUGUUCUACCACUGGCUAUGGUGGCAAGCUCUGCUCAGAAGAUGUCAGUCAAGGUCCAGGCCUCUCCCACCUCAUGAUGAGUGAACAAGGUAGAAGUAAAGCUCGAGAGGAGAAUGUGGCCACUUUCCGAGGCUCAGAGUAUCUGUGCUACGACCUGUCUCAGAACCCGAUCCAGAGCAGCAGUGAUGAAAUCACCCUCUCCUUUAAGACCUGGCAGCGUAACGGCCUCAUCCUGCACACGGGCAAGUCGGCUGACUAUGUCAACCUGGCUCUGAAGGAUGGUGCGGUCUCCUUGGUCAUUAACCUGGGGUCCGGGGCCUUUGAGGCCAUUGUGGAGCCAGUGAAUGGAAAAUUCAAUGACAACGCCUGGCAUGAUGUCAAAGUGACACGCAACCUCCGGCAGCACUCAGGCAUCGGACACGCUAUGGUGACAAUCUCUGUGGAUGGCAUUCUUACCACAACGGGCUACACUCAAGAGGACUAUACCAUGCUGGGCUCGGACGACUUCUUCUACGUGGGAGGAAGCCCAAGUACCGCUGACUUGCCUGGCUCCCCUGUCAGCAACAACUUCAUGGGCUGCCUUAAAGAGGUUGUUUAUAAGAAUAAUGACAUCCGUCUGGAGCUGUCUCGCCUGGCCCGAAUUGGGGACACCAAGAUGAAAAUCUAUGGCGAAGUUGUAUUUAAGUGUGAGAAUGUGGCCACACUAGACCCCAUCAACUUCGAGACCCCAGAGGCUUACAUCAGCUUGCCCAAGUGGAACACUAAGCGUAUGGGCUCCAUCUCCUUUGACUUCCGUACCACUGAGCCCAAUGGCCUGAUCCUCUUCACUCAUGGAAAGCCCCAAGAGAGGAAGGAUGCUCGGAGCCAGAAGAACACAAAAGUAGACUUCUUUGCUGUGGAACUCCUCGAUGGCAACCUGUACUUGCUGCUUGACAUGGGCUCUGGCACCAUCAAAGUGAAAGCCACUCAGAAGAAAGCCAAUGAUGGGGAAUGGUACCAUGUGGACAUUCAGCGAGAUGGCAGAUCAGGUACUAUAUCAGUGAACAGCAGACGCACGCCAUUCACCGCCAGUGGGGAGAGCGAGAUCCUGGACCUGGAAGGAGACAUGUACCUGGGAGGGCUGCCAGAGAACCGUGCUGGCCUAAUUCUCCCCACCGAGCUGUGGACUGCCAUGCUCAACUAUGGCUACGUGGGCUGCAUUCGCGACCUGUUCAUUGAUGGGCGCAGCAAGAACAUUCGACAGCUGGCAGAGAUGCAGAACGCUGCGGGUGUCAAGUCCUCCUGUUCACGGAUGAGCGCCAAGCAGUGUGACAGCUACCCCUGCAAGAACAAUGCUGUGUGCAAGGACGGCUGGAACCGCUUCAUCUGUGACUGCACCGGCACCGGAUACUGGGGAAGAACCUGCGAAAGGGAGGCAUCCAUCCUGAGUUAUGAUGGUAGCAUGUACAUGAAGAUCAUCAUGCCCAUGGUCAUGCAUACUGAGGCAGAGGAUGUGUCCUUCCGCUUCAUGUCCCAGCGAGCUUAUGGGCUGCUGGUGGCUACGACCUCCAGGGACUCUGCCGACACCCUGCGUCUGGAGCUGGAUGGGGGGCGUGUCAAGCUCAUGGUUAACUUAGACUGUAUCAGGAUAAACUGUAACUCCAGCAAAGGACCAGAAACCCUGUAUGCAGGGCAGAAGCUCAAUGACAAUGAGUGGCACACCGUUCGGGUGGUGCGGAGAGGAAAAAGCCUUAAGUUAACCGUGGAUGAUGAUGUGGCUGAGGGUACAAUGGUGGGAGACCAUACCCGUUUGGAGUUCCACAACAUUGAAACAGGAAUCAUGACUGAGAAACGUUACAUCUCCGUUGUCCCCUCCAGCUUCAUUGGCCAUCUGCAGAGCCUCAUGUUUAAUGGCCUUCUCUACAUUGACUUGUGCAAAAAUGGUGACAUUGAUUAUUGUGAGCUGAAGGCUCGUUUUGGACUGAGGAACAUCAUCGCCGACCCUGUCACCUUUAAGACCAAGAGUAGCUACCUGAGCCUUGCCACCCUUCAGGCUUAUACCUCCAUGCACCUCUUCUUCCAGUUCAAGACCACCUCACCAGAUGGCUUCAUUCUCUUCAAUAGUGGUGAUGGCAAUGACUUCAUUGCAGUUGAGCUUGUAAAGGGGUAUAUACACUACGUUUUUGACCUCGGAAACGGUCCCAAUGUGAUCAAAGGCAACAGUGAUCGCCCCCUGAAUGACAACCAGUGGCACAAUGUCGUCAUCACUCGGGACAAUAGUAACACUCAUAGCCUGAAAGUGGACACCAAAGUGGUCACUCAGGUUAUCAAUGGUGCCAAAAACCUGGAUUUGAAAGGUGAUCUCUACAUGGCUGGUCUGGCCCAAGGCAUGUACAGCAACCUCCCAAAGCUUGUGGCCUCUCGAGAUGGGUUUCAGGGCUGUCUGGCAUCAGUGGACUUGAAUGGACGCCUGCCAGACCUCAUCAAUGAUGCCCUUCAUCGGAGCGGACAGAUCGAGCGUGGCUGUGAAGUUGCGUUGACCAAAGCUGACCUGCAAGGACCCAGUACCACCUGCCAGGAAGAUUCAUGUGCCAACCAGGGGGUCUGCAUGCAACAAUGGGAGGGCUUCACCUGUGAUUGUUCUAUGACCUCAUAUUCCGGAAACCAGUGCAAUGAUCCUGGCGCUACGUACAUCUUUGGGAAAAGCGGUGGGCUCAUCCUCUACACCUGGCCAGCCAAUGACAGGCCCAGCACGCGCUCUGACCGCCUUGCCGUGGGCUUCAGCACCACUGUGAAGGAUGGCAUCUUGGUCCGCAUCGACAGUGCCCCAGGACUUGGUGACUUCCUCCAGCUUCACAUAGAACAGGGGAAAAUUGGAGUUGUCUUCAAUAUUGGCACAGUCGACAUCUCCAUCAAAGAGGAGAGAACCCCUGUAAAUGACGGCAAAUACCAUGUGGUACGCUUCACCAGGAACGGCGGCAACGCCACGCUGCAAGUGGACAACUGGCCAGUGAAUGAACAUUAUCCUACAGGCAACACUGAUAAUGAACGCUUCCAAAUGGUAAAACAGAAAAUCCCCUUCAAAUAUAAUCGGCCUGUAGAGGAGUGGCUGCAGGAAAAAGGCCGGCAGUUAACCAUCUUCAACACUCAGGCGCAAAUAGCCAUUGGUGGAAAGGACAAAGGACGCCUCUUCCAAGGCCAACUCUCUGGGCUCUAUUAUGAUGGUUUGAAAGUACUGAACAUGGCAGCUGAGAACAACCCCAAUAUUAAAAUCAAUGGAAGUGUUCGGCUGGUUGGAGAAGUCCCAUCAAUUUUGGGAACAACACAGACGACCUCCAUGCCACCAGAAAUGUCUACUACUGUCAUGGAAACCACUACUACAAUGGCGACUACCACAACCCGUAAGAAUCGCUCUACCGCCAGCAUUCAGCCAACAUCAGAUGAUCUUGUUUCAUCUGCUGAAUGUUCAAGUGAUGAUGAAGACUUCGUUGAAUGUGAGCCAAGUACAGGUAGGUCAGCCAGAAGCUCUAAUGCAGCUAGAUCACUCCGUGCCGCCCUUACAUGGACAUGGCGACUCACUUACACAUUUACUCCUAUCAUCUUCAUCUCCUGUGUAGUUCACUCAUAGAUAUGACCCUCCCCUUCCUGCAUCUUUCCUUCCCAUACUCCCCCUUUCUUUAGCAUUGUUAAAAUUUAUGUGCUGUCAUCCAUCUCCCUAAAUUAAAGAAAGCCUAAAAUUUGUCAAAAAGACAAAAAAAAAUUAAGUAUUUAUCUGAAAACCUAUAAAUGCAGAAAUUCAUUCAAAACCCGUGAGAUUCAUAGAAUUUUUUUGAAAGGCAAAUUAUAAAAGGAAACAGGUUUUUUGUUUGGUUUUUCAAUCAUAGCAAUCGGAAUUAUUUUAAAUUCAAAAAUUGAUGCCCUCCCAAACCCCCCAAAGUAAAAAUUUGUUAAAGUGCAGAUUUUUUUUUUCUUUUUAUGUUAUGUGGUGUGGAUGUAUGUGUUGUUGCCUCCCUGUAUCAUCCUCUGUUGUAAAUUAUUAUAUUUGAAAAAUUAGACAUUUUGCUCAAAACUUUUUAAGAAAUGACAACAAAAAAGCAAGUUACAAGAAUGUGGCAAUUCUAUUUGUCCAAGAGCAUUCUUACACAACUUUCUUUUGUAAAUUUUUCUUUCAUGCCAAAAAACAUGCGGGCAAUUUGUUGAUGAGGUGAAUUAGUUAUCCCUCUUCUUGUAGAAGACCCUUUAGCUACCCCUCCUAUUGCUACUCGUGCACCUUCCAUUACACUCCCCCCUACCUUUCGCCCCCUCCUCACCAUUAUUGAGACCACCAAAGAUUCCCUGUCCAUGACCUCUGAGGCGGGGUUACCUUGCUUGUCGGACCAAGGCAGCGAUGGUUGUGAUGAUGAUGGCUUGGUGAUAUCUGGGUAUGGCUCAGGGGAAACCUUUGACUCUAACCUGCCCCCUACUGAUGAUGAAGAUUUUUACACCACCUUCUCCUUGGUAACAGAUAAGAGUCUUUCCACUUCAAUCUUCGAAGGUGGCUACAAAGCACAUGCGCCCAAGUGGGAAUCCAAGGACUUUAGACCUAACAAAGUCUCCGAAACUAGUAGGACUACUACCACAUCUUUAUCCCCUGAGCUGAUCCGCUUCACAGCUUCCUCCUCGUCUGGGAUGGUGCCCAAAUUGCCAGCUGGCAAAAUGAAUAACCGUGAUCUCAAACCCCAGCCUGAUAUAGUCUUGCUUCCGUUGCCCACUGCCUAUGAGCUAGACAGCACCAAACUGAAGAGCCCACUAAUUACUUCCCCCAUGUUCCGUAAUGUGCCCACAGCAAACCCCACGGAGCCGGGAAUCAGACGGGUCCCGGGGGCCUCAGAGGUGAUCCGGGAGUCGAGCAGCACAACAGGGAUGGUCGUCGGCAUUGUGGCUGCUGCCGCCCUCUGCAUCUUGAUCCUCCUGUACGCCAUGUACAAGUACAGGAACAGGGACGAGGGGUCCUAUCAAGUGGACGAGACGCGGAACUACAUCAGCAACUCCGCCCAGAGCAACGGCACGCUCAUGAAGGAGAAGCAGCAGAGCUCGAAGAGCGGCCACAAGAAACAGAAAAACAAGGACAGGGAGUACUACGUGUAAACAUGCGAACACUGCUCACACGCGAGUUUCACAGUUAUUUCUAUCCACGCCUAUGAAUCUUUGGAUGGUGAGAUCUCACAGAUGUCAGAACUGCUGGAACUAUGAAAUGGGGUAUAUAACCACGACUCUGGUGGGGAAAACCGUUUUUUAAAGGACACACACACACAGCGAUGCAUCUCUGAAGCUCAGCCAUGGCUGCGGCAAGGUCCCAGCGGUCGCUGGGAGGCAGAAGGUUUUGUGCCCUGCUGUAUCAUAAAGCACACACUUAGCGCUCUGGAGCCGGACGGUGGCUCCACCACUUCCGCAGGCCUGGAAGCUUCCUUCUCCGGAGGACCUUUUACUAAAAGGUAGAAGACUUCAUGGCUUACUUGUUCCAUAACUCCAAGUGAGUCUAUAAUGAUGUUUGUGAAGCUUGACUGUAACCAUGUUUUUUCGGUUUAAUUAUGUAAAAAACAAAACUACAACAACAACAAAAAAAGAAAAAAGUAAAAAAAAAACCAAAAACAAAAACAAAAAAAAAACACCAAAAAACAAAAACAAACAAAAAAACCCACAACCCUUAUCUGGUUCUGACCAGUGUGCGUGUAACUUUAAGGUCUGAGGGGAAAAAUGGCUUUUGGGUUUUUGUUUAUUUUUUUGAUAAUGACUGGACAUCGGAAGAGGAAAAAACUCAAAACAAAAGCGAGAGAGACUAUUGCCAUAUGAACUCAAAAGCUACCAUGGUGUUCACUCUACAUAUCAGGUUAUGGUGUCUCUAGAAUCUGUUGUUUGUUUCCUAUAAGAUGCUUUGCUGAACACAUAGCAAAAUUCAUGUGACGGAUGAUAAUAUUGAUUCGAAAAGCUGGUCCCCCAGGAUCUAAUUUCAGAAUUCACCACCCAAACCCCGAACAGAUGGGUUUAGGGCUGGUGUUAUCAGAGCUAUUGGCUUUACUUAACAAUAUUGUUCCUGUCCAUUCACCCAGCCAAAUUGUGUUAAAGAAGAAAGCCCCACAAACUAAAAUAGCCUUUCCUGGGAAGAGGAAGGGGAGGUGGGCUGGAUCUGUGACUGAUUGAAAUGCAUGCAAAUAAAAAAGACAAUAUUAAAGUCUGUUAAAUUAUCAAACCAGACAGUAGGGGAGUUCAACUCGAGAUGGAACCACAAAAGGUCACACAAGCCAAACAUGUCAUGCCAGAGUACAAAACACAUAGUUCUUUCCCCGCCCCAAACAUGACAAUGGUUUUCAUAGUGGUUUAAUUUUGUAGCCUGACAUUUAUGGAUAAUUCUGUCCUUCCAUUUGCUCACUUCUCCCUUCACCCAUCUUUUUUAAAAAACAAAUAAAUAAAUGAAUAAAGCUGCUGUGACACACACAAAAAAGGAAUUUAAUAGUAUAAUAUAUAUAUAAAUAAAUAUAUAUACAGAUAUAUUUAUCAUGGUAUGUUUGAUGGGAUGACUGACACAGGAAAUCUGUUAAAGUCUUGAAGUGGAAUGAGAAUGUUGUUUUAAAAGAAAAUAACAAAACAACAAAAAAGCAAACCUUAAAAUGUGAAGAAAGUGUGAAUUUUAGUUUUGUCACAGUUAACUGUGUCAAAGAGAAUUUAAAAAAAAAACUUCAGAUUUUGUUUACAUAUUUUACUACAUCUUUGCUGGUAUAAUUCCUUAGCCACCUAUGUACAUACUGCUUUAAGAACUGUUUUUUUUUCCUGUUUAUUUCUGUUUGGUUUAUAUUCUGGUUGUCUUUUUCUUUUUGUAAAGAGGAAACAAUGUACAGAAAAACAAUAAACUGGUUGUAUGGCCAUAGCUAUCCAAAAAGCAAGAGACAAAGCAAGACAAAUAUUCACACAAAAAUGACGUGUGUCCUCUGGAGGGUCAGAGAUAUACAAUUUCUUUUGUACAGAUGAAAAUCAAUCAGCUGUUUAGAUUUAGAAAUCUACUCUUGCUGGUCUUUGUAAGUUGCAUGAAUAUUUGACUUUGAAAAAAUAUCUUAAUGACAUGGGGCAAAAAGCGCAAUCUAAAUGGUAGCCUUUACUAAUGUGUAUGGAAAGAGGUGUUCCUCAUUAUCUAAUAUUUCAAUGUGUUAAGAGUUUAAUUUUUUGUUAUCAUUUUAAAAAGACAGGAUUAUAAAGAGAUAUCAAAGCACGAUUUUAGAUAACCUAAAUGGCCCAGCCUAUACGAAGUUGAUUAUAUCUCGAUGUCUGUAAAAGAUUGCUGUUCUUGGAGUCUUGAGGUCUUGUGAACUGAUUUCCUGCUUUCUUUCAUUUUUUCAAUUUGAGUAAUAAUACAUUUGUUAUAUUCCUUUUAGUGUAAGUUUCUAUUUGGACAAUUUUAUGGGAACAUGUGCAUUCUCUAUGUGAGCUUCUAUCAUAUUCCUGUUUUAUUAGCAGAACCUAAAGGAAUUUAUUUUAUGAUGUUGUGACAUUACUGCUUUUUCUUUUUUCUUUUAGUUCAUAUUUGCAUUUUCGUUCAAGGAUAUGCUUAGCAAUAAAAUGUUCUUCCCAAAA
Non-coding RNA from Macaca mulatta (Rhesus monkey), 9974 nucleotides. The record is from RefSeq and is a predicted model, not a curated record. Lineage: Eukaryota; Metazoa; Chordata; Mammalia; Primates; Cercopithecidae.